Molecule: ribosomal RNA, 253 nt
Filed under: uncultured bacterium
Lineage: Bacteria
Description: partial 16S ribosomal RNA
Rfam family: Bacterial small subunit ribosomal RNA
Source: RNAcentral
UACAGAGGCCUCGAGCGUUAGGCGGAAUCACUGGGCUUAAAGCGUGUGUAGGCGGACUGGUAAGUACCUUGUGAAAUCCCACGGCUCAACCGUGGAACCGCUGGGUAUACUGGUUGUCUUGAGCCGGCUAGGGGCGAGCGGAACAGACGGUGGAGCGGUGAAAUGCGUAGAUAUCGCUUGGAACGCCAAAGGUGAAAACAGGUUGCUGGGGUUGUGCCGACGCUGAGACACGAAAGCCAGGGGAGCAAACGGG